AUCUGGACUCUCGGCAUUGAUCCCGAAAACGGUCGAUCGUACCCGAUCAUGACCCUCGUGCAUAUCCGUGAGGUGUCGGAACGGUUGCCAUGGUAUUGCGUCGCCCCUGGACAUGAAAUUACCGUUUCUGAAGUGAAUUGUUGCAGUUUCUCUUCUCUGACACGGAGGACGUUCUGUGAUCUGUUGUCAGCUUAAUUAGCCGCCAUACGAACGGACUCAGCUUAAUAAUACUAGGGUCUCCCGAGUCACUCUUGGUCGAUUUGAAGCCGUGCAGCUGGAAAGCACAACUCUGCACCGCUCAAAGUCACCGGAGCGGAGGACAUUUUCCCACGCAAGAGCAAUACCCGGCCCUGACGGUAGAACGCCAGCCUUCUCAAACAGUGGACACGAAGAUACAUUUUCUCUGAAAAUCAGCAGAACUUGGCCCAGAAUAAGGACAGAAAGGAUAACCUUCACAUCAGACAGGGCUACUGUCAGGGUGCGAGUGUGAGUCUCUUCUUGCUGGACAUCAACUAAUUAAGUUACUGAUCAAUAAAGGAGGGAGUUGGAAGUGAGACAACUGCAGUUCUUGUCCGAUCCAUUUUCUGGCAUUGGUCCAGUACCAACCUGUGGAGGAAUACAAAUUACCUGUGCUACUGUCAAGGUGCAAGUCUUGCUGGAUGUCAACUAUAGUAAUUAAUUCACUGAUCAAUAAAGGAGGGAGUCAGAAAAGAAGAGGAGACAACUGCAGUUCUUGUCCAUUUGCUGGCAUCAAUCAGGUCCAGUGCAAGUCUGUGGAGGAAUACUAAUUACCUGCUCCCACCUUGAAAUAGCAACUGUGACAGGUAUCUGGCUUUACCUGAUAACAGCAACAUCCUUUACCAGGGGACACGUUUUGAGAGCAUGCAGUGAGAGGGAAGGUCGUUGAAGGGUGGCUAUGGGAAGGAACUUCAAGGUAAACUGCCAACCAAUGAAGUCAUUCCACUAAAGGACGCAUACCCUAU
Branchiostoma floridae (Florida lancelet) is the source of this 983-nucleotide long non-coding RNA. RefSeq lists it as uncharacterized. NCBI's taxonomy places the organism in Eukaryota, Metazoa, Chordata, Leptocardii, Amphioxiformes, Branchiostomatidae. The record is from RefSeq and is a predicted model, not a curated record. The transcript is spliced from 5 exons.